This 115-nucleotide ribosomal RNA is filed under the name Candidatus Pelagibacter sp. The record is from RNAcentral. Lineage: Bacteria; Pseudomonadati; Pseudomonadota; Alphaproteobacteria; Candidatus Pelagibacterales; Candidatus Pelagibacteraceae.
GCCGGUGAUUAUUGCGAAAGUGUUAUACCCGAUCCCAUUCCGAACUCGGAAGUCAAGCCUUUCUGCGCUGAUGGUACUUUGUCUUAAGAUAUGGGAGAGUAAGUCGUCGCCGGCU